RNAcentral lists this ribosomal RNA (463 nucleotides) under uncultured bacterium. RNAcentral's name for it is "partial 16S ribosomal RNA". It matches the Rfam family "Bacterial small subunit ribosomal RNA", at positions 28 to 507 of the family's 1533-position model. The record is from RNAcentral.
GAUGAACGCUGACAGAAUGCUUAACACAUGCAAGUCUUUGGCGAAGCUGUGCUUGCACAGCCUGGCCAAGGCGGACGGGUGAGUAACGCGUAAGGAACUUGCCCUGCAGUCAGGGAUAACAGACGGAAACGACUGAUAAGACCUGGUAAAGUCAGGCGGACUCAUGUCCAGCCUGAUGAAAAGAGAUGCUGCAGGAGAGCCUUGCGUCCUAUUAGCUUGUUGGUGGGGUAACGGCCCACCAAGGCGAUGAUAGGUAGCCGGCCUGAGAGGGUGGACGGCCACAAGGGGACUGAGAUACGGCCCUUACUCCUACGGGAGGCAGCAGUGGGGAAUAUUGGACAAUGGGGGCAACCCUGAUCCAGCAAUUCUGUGUGCACGAUGAAGGUUUUCGGAUUGUAAAGUGCUUUCAGCAGGGAAGAAAAAAAUGACGGUACCUGCAGAAGAAGCGACGGCUAAAUACGUG